UACAGAGCACGUAAUAGAUCCUUAAGCCAAUGCUGUCCAUGAAGGAAGAGGGACAUCCAGCAACGUUCUGCUCCAUCCUUAUAUCUUCCCGAUGUACGCUCAUCUAGCUUCUCUGCUUUUGCUGCUACAACUUGUCUUACUUUACCGACGAGUUGGAACACUUCAGUGGUCACUACCCUUUGCUGUUACACACCUGCAGUUAAUCACCACGGGAUAAUGCCCAGGUAAUGCAGAGGAGACGUCGAGAAGAUGGAUUUUCUCAUCUUUAAAAAUCGUCACAAGUCUCCGUCGGAUGUUGCCCCUUCUGCUGGUGCGAACGAAACUCGGUGGAGUGAAUGGAUAAUGCGCCAACAAAAUACUUCUGGCAAUGGAAAACGGAAAAUGACAAUCGCCACCGUCACCGAGACUCAUCAUCAAAGUGGAUCAUCGUAUUGUUGGAAUUAUUGCGUUUGUGUUAGUGUUAGUUAACCCGUUGUCUGCCACGCCUUUGUUCUCCCAGCACGGUCUGCGUGCGCUGGUCGGCCUCCUGGUUUUCAUGCCGCGGGGUCGGAGUGUCGCACCAGUCCAAAAUUUGCCGCAAGGCGCCUGUUAUCAGGCAAUGCACCAGUUC
Long non-coding RNA from Daphnia pulicaria, 610 nucleotides. RefSeq lists it as uncharacterized. The transcript has 3 exons. The record is from RefSeq and is a predicted model, not a curated record. Lineage: Eukaryota; Metazoa; Arthropoda; Branchiopoda; Diplostraca; Daphniidae.